RNAcentral lists this ribosomal RNA (484 nucleotides) under uncultured bacterium. Its description in RNAcentral is "partial 16S ribosomal RNA". It matches the Rfam family "Bacterial small subunit ribosomal RNA", at positions 30 to 507 of the family's 1533-position model. The record is from RNAcentral.
AUUGAACGCUGGCGGCAGGCCUAACACAUGCAGGUCGAGCGGAUGAAGGGAGCUUGCUCCUGGAUUCAGCGGCGGACGGGUGAGUAAUGCCUAGGAAUCUGCCUGGUAGUGGGGGAUAACGUCCGGAAACGGGCGCUAAUACCGCAUACGUCCUGAGGGAGAAAGUGGGGGAUCUUCGGACCUCACGCUAUCAGAUGAGCCUAGGUCGGAUUAGCUAGUUGGUGGGGUAAAGGCCUACCAAGGCGACGAUCCGUAACUGGUCUGAGAGGAUGAUCAGUCACACUGGAACUGAGACACGGUCCAGACUCCUACGGGAGGCGGCAGUGGGGAAUAUUGGACAAUGGGCGAAAGCCUGAUCCAGCCAUGCCGCGUGUGUGAAGAAGGUCUUCGGAUUGUAAAGCACUUUAAGUUGGGAGGAAGGGCAGUAAGUUAAUACCUUGCUGUUUUGACGUUACCAACAGAAUAAGCACCGGCUAACUUCGUG